UCCGGUUUGUCACCGGCAGUCCCAUUAGAGUGCCCGGCCGAACCGCUGGCAACUAAUGGCGAGGGUUGCGCUCGUUGCGGGACUUAACCCAACAUCUCACGACACGAGCUGACGACAGCCAUGCAGCACCUGUGCCUCCUCUCGAUUCGACGAGUCGUCCCCCUUUCAGGGUUCUACUUGAGGCAUGUCAAACCCAGGUAAGGUUCUUCGCGUUGCCUCGAAUUAAACCACACGCUCCGCUGCUUGUGCGGGCCCCCGCCUAUUCCUUUGAGUUUUAACCUUGCGGCCGUAGUCCCCAGGCGGUGAACUUAAUGCGUUAGCUGCGGCACUGAUCGGGUCAAUCCGACCAACACCUAGUUCACAACGUUUAGGGCGUGGACUAC
This 383-nucleotide unclassified non-coding RNA is filed under the name uncultured bacterium. Its description in RNAcentral is "contains 16S-23S intergenic spacer region". The record is from RNAcentral.